CCACUACUGAGGAGUCCCACAAUAAGACGAAACGACUGUCUAGUAC
This 46-nucleotide non-coding RNA is filed under the name Schistosoma mansoni. Lineage: Eukaryota; Metazoa; Platyhelminthes; Trematoda; Strigeidida; Schistosomatidae. The record is from RNAcentral.